RNAcentral lists this long non-coding RNA (788 nucleotides) under Taeniopygia guttata (zebra finch). RNAcentral describes it as "lncRNA (ENSTGUG00000021103.1)". The record is from RNAcentral. Lineage: Eukaryota; Metazoa; Chordata; Aves; Passeriformes; Estrildidae.
CUGAGCUACAGAUUGGGACAACCUGACAAUCAGCUAUGGAAGGGACUCGCAGAUCUGUCAGAGCUGGGAGGGAGCACUGCUUUGCUUUUCCAACAUGAAUAUAAAUUAACCCCAUAGCUUCUCCAUCAACAGUUGGCUGUACCAUUGCUACAAUUUAAUGGAGAACAAUGCUUACUCCAGUGAAAGGUCACCAGAAUUCAAUUUCUGUCUCCUCUGCCUCAUUCUGAUCAAGUGACAAAAGACACACACCAUCACAUGUUUCUGGCCUGGUAUUUAAAUUCAUUGUCAAACUUGGAAAAGUCUAAUGGAGGUCACCAAGUUGGUUGGCGCUUGAAGACUUGUCCUGUGAGCAGAGCUGAAGGGAGCUGGGCUUGUUCAGCCUGGGUAAAGGACAGCUUCAGGAGGGUCCCACGGCAGCCUGGCCCUACCCACCUGGAGGGUAUUCAAGGAGCUGAGAUGGGCUCCCCAUGAUAAGGCACAGUAGGAGAAUGAGAGGCAGGGGUCAUAAAUUGAAAUAAUAGACUUCAGUUGGAUAUAGGAAAAGAAACUUCCUGAGGACAGUCACGAGACCACACUGCCUGGAGAGCUUCUUCAGUCUUGGAGAGUUCAAGGCCCACAUGGGUAAAGCUCUGAGCAGCCUGGCCUGAACUCACAGAUGACCCUGCUUGCAGCAAGAAGUUGGGCAGAGGGUAUCUGAAGUCUAUCCCAAAGUAGUUGUUUCUGUGAUUCUGCUUCCCUUUUCACAGCAGUUUGCCAGGAUUUCUAAGGAAUAUUCACUGUCUAAACAC